GGACGCCGAAGGUGGGGCUAAUGACUGGGGUGAAGUCGUAACAAGGUAGCCGUACCGGAAGGUGCGGCUGGAUCACCUCCUAACAGGGAGACAACAAAAUGUAAAUAUUAAUUUUGUCACCUUAGGUCGAUCGGUAUCUCAGAUUCUUAUUUUUUAAGAAUUUCAGUUUCUAAGUUUUUUCUAGGUCACACCCAUCACUUUUUCCUGGGCCAUUAGCUCAGGUGGUUAGAGCGCACCCCUGAUAAGGGUGAGGUCCCUGGUUCAAGUCCAGGAUGGCCCAUAUCUCUAUGUUGGGGGUAUAGCUCAGUUGGUAGAGCGCCUGCUUUGCAAGCAGGAUGUCAGCGGUUCGAGUCCGCUUACCUCCACUGAAUACCACCUCUUACAUAUAUUUAAGGAGGGAAAUUGUAUUGAGUCGUGUCCUAAUUUGCUCUGAGCGAAUCUAGCUUCCUAUUUUAUUCAAUAAAUAAGAUGCUGGACUCAUUGAAUUCUUUUCAUUGUUUUCAGAGAACCUUGACAACUGCAUAGAUUAUUUUUGAAGACAAUAAGCAUCUUUAAUGAUGCAGAUUUAUUAUUUGUGCGAAUGCAUUAAAUAACAAUUCUAUUAAGCUGAUGCUUCAAUUAUUGAAGUUAUUGGUCAAGCUACAAAGGGCUCACGGAGGAUA
Molecule: unclassified non-coding RNA, 662 nt
Filed under: uncultured Prochlorococcus sp.
Lineage: Bacteria; Bacillati; Cyanobacteriota; Cyanophyceae; Synechococcales; Prochlorococcaceae
Description: partial may contain 16S ribosomal RNA, 16S-23S ribosomal RNA intergenic spacer, and 23S ribosomal RNA
Rfam family: tRNA (bases 293-365)
Source: RNAcentral